AUUGAACGCUGGCGGCAUGCCUUACACAUGCAAGUCGAACGGCAGCGCGGGCUUCGGCCUGGCGGCGAGUGGCGAACGGGUGAGUAAUAUAUCGGAACGUGCCCUAGAGUGGGGGAUAACGUAGCGAAAGUUACGCUAAUACCGCAUACGAUCUAUGGAUGAAAGUGGGGGACCGUAAGGCCUCACGCUCCUGGAGCGGCCGAUAUCUGAUUAGCUAGUUGGUAGGGUAAAAGCCUACCAAGGCGAGGAUCAGUAGCUGGUCUGAGAGGACGACCAGCCACACUGGGACUGAGACACGGCCCAGACUCCUACGGGAGGCAGCAGUGGGGAAUUUUGGACAAUGGGGGCAACCCUGAUCCAGCAAUGCCGCGUGUGUGAAGAAGGCCUUCGGGUUGUAAAGCACUUUUGUCAGGAACGAAACGGUGGGGGCUAAUAUCCUCUGCUAAUGACGGUACCUGAAGAAUAAGCACCGGCUAACCACGUGCCAGCCGCCGCCGUAA
Molecule: ribosomal RNA, 500 nt
Filed under: uncultured bacterium
Lineage: Bacteria
Description: partial 16S ribosomal RNA
Rfam family: Bacterial small subunit ribosomal RNA
Source: RNAcentral